RNAcentral lists this ribosomal RNA (440 nucleotides) under uncultured bacterium. RNAcentral describes it as "partial 16S ribosomal RNA". It matches the Rfam family "Bacterial small subunit ribosomal RNA", at positions 338 to 795 of the family's 1533-position model. The record is from RNAcentral.
CCUACGGGUGGCAGCAGUGGGGAAUAUUGCACAAUGGGCGAAACCCUGAAGCAGCGACGCAGCGUGCGUGAUGAAGUACUUCGGUAUCUAAAGCUCUAUCAGCAGGGGAGAAACUGACGGUACCUGAGUAAGAAUCCCCGGCUUACUACGUUCCCGCAGCCGCGGUCAUACGUAGGGGGCCAGUGUUAUCCGGAUUUCCUGGGUGUAAAGGGAGUGUAGGCGGCAGUGCAAGUCUGGAGUGAAAGGCGGGGGGUUAACCCCCGGACUGAAGUUGAAACUGGACGGCUGGAGUGCAGGAGAGGGAAGGGGAAUUCGUAGUGUAGCGGUGAAAUGCGUAGAUAUCAGGAGGAACCCCAGUGGCGAAGGCAGCUUACCGGAGUGCAACUGACGUUGAGGCUCGAAGGCGCGGGGAGCAAACAGGAUUAGAUACCCCAGUAGUC